GGGACGACACACGCGGCAAAAUCAGGCCUCAGAAUUACGCAGGCGGAACCCUCAUCAAGGGCAGGGGUCCUGGAGUGUCCAAAGCUAGGGUCUUAGGGAUGUGCCUUCUAGCUGCCCACUCCGCCAGUUUAAAGCCCACCCCUCUACCGUCUCCACUCCUCCAGGGAUGGAAAGAGAUUCUUUCCGAGGACAGGAUUUGAUGUCUGUUCAACAUGUAUUUCUGCUGACCACUUCCAUCCUGUGAUGAAAGGGGACAGAGCUGCACGAGUUGCUCUGAAUCUCAGGAACUUAAAAUCCUUUAGGACAUACUGUCCAGUUAGCCCCACCACAGCAUUUUCCAGUGAACUGUGAUUAAAUACUGCCUCAGCUUGCUUUGUUGCUCAACAGUCUGGGAGCUGGGUGCACAUGGUGGGUGCUGGCCUCCCCCCCACUCUAUCCCUCUGCCGGAACAGCCCAAGGGGCUAGAAACUCGCCCUGGGGUGGGAGACUGGAUUCAGGUCCCAGCUCCAGUCCUACGUUCACACUUGGAACCUCCAACUCACCUGAUCCUUCUGGCCAAACGCACACCUCUUCACGCUCCCGCACUGGGGCUGUUCCAGCCAGGUGAGGCCGGCCCCUCAACCCACGGGUUUCCACAUCAAAGUCCUCCCUCUGAUCUUCCAAUCAAAUCUUCACUCCUCCACCCACUUUGACACCCAGUUCCCUGUCUGUUUCCCCCGGGAAUGUCUUGCCAACUCAACCAAGACCAAUUGACUGUACCCUUCUCCCUCGGCCUCCACUUGACCCUUGCUCCUGCUAGAGUUCAUCCAUCAUGUCUCCAUUCCUUAGUGUCCUUUGCCUGAUCCUUGAUAGUCAACUCACCGCCUACUCAUACCCUGUUGACCUUUGCUGUGUGUUUGGCCUCCUGCAGUCAUGUCUGCUAUUGGUGAGCUUGCCUGUGAGGGGAACACUUAGGGCCUCGGUGGAAGAUGGAGCAGCCUUUCCUCCUAGCUGGCUCUCCUAUCAGGCUAUGGAGUAUGUUUCUGCCCCUUCCACAUGCCAUUCGCCAUCACAUAGCCCCCCUGGAGGAGAGGUGGCAGAUGGGAGCCUGCUGGACCAGCCCCUGCUUUCAUGGCCCCGGGCGGGGAAGGGCAAUGUGUGUGUCAUUGCUCUACCUCUUCCACCCCAAGGGCCUCCAGUUGA
Molecule: non-coding RNA, 1182 nt
Organism: Miniopterus natalensis
Lineage: Eukaryota; Metazoa; Chordata; Mammalia; Chiroptera; Miniopteridae
Source: RefSeq, a predicted model, not a curated record